CGUUCCCGGGCCUUGUACACACCGCCCGUCACACCACGAAAGUCGGUAACACCCGAAGCCGGUGGCCCAACCCUUGUGGAGGGAGCCGUCGAAGGUGGGAUCGGCGAUUGGGGUG
This 115-nucleotide ribosomal RNA is filed under the name uncultured bacterium. RNAcentral describes it as "partial 16S ribosomal RNA". It matches the Rfam family "Bacterial small subunit ribosomal RNA", at positions 1369 to 1482 of the family's 1533-position model. The record is from RNAcentral.